This is a long non-coding RNA of Piliocolobus tephrosceles (Ugandan red Colobus), 2060 nucleotides long. Lineage: Eukaryota; Metazoa; Chordata; Mammalia; Primates; Cercopithecidae. The record is from Ensembl.
AAAAACGGAAGCCAUGAAAAAAACGGAAGCUACGAAAAAAACGAAAGUUACGAAAAAAAUAUAGACUCUGAUUUUAAUCUCUUUCAGAAAUACCCUAAGGACGUUAAUUGGGUCAAAAGCAGAUCUUCCACGAAAAAAGCAAAAAAUGUAUUCGGUUUUGAAGAAACUUUAAAGUUUAUGAAGUAUAGAGAAUUGUUACGAAAAUAUAUGGGUACGUUUUAUUAUUAUAGUGCAUUUAAAUGUGCAACUUAUAUUAUUAUAUAUGUAUUAAUUGUUAAAAUGUGUACACAAAUUUCUAAAAAUUUAAAAUCACCUGACCAUGUUAAUGAGAAUAUAAAUGAUUCGAAUAAUAUCUUAAAUGUUAAUACAAAUAAUUUAAUUUUAAAUAUAUAUAAUUUAGAUGGUAUUAUUCAAAUUUUAUGUUGCUCAGUUUUAUUUAUUUGUAUAAUAAUAUUGUAUAAGUUGGGUAUACCUUCUAAUUAUUUAUUAGCUGGACGGUUAACAAUUUUAUUUAUGUUUUUAUAUUUUUUACAAAUACCUCUUGUUAUAUAUCUUAAUUUUAGACACCUUAAAAAUUAUGAAAGAGUUCAGACUCCAACUGGUAUUAGUGAUAAUAGUAGUGAUAGUAAAAAUAUUACUUUACAUGACAACAAUUCAAGUGGUAAUAAUAUAAGUACAUUAUUGGAUAAAGGUGGAAGUGCUAUAGAUGCACUUAAUAAACUUCUUGAAAAGAAAGACUAUUUUAAUUUACAAUUAUUACGUGUUUACAAUACUUUAUAUGUUGAUACAUGGAAUUUAUUAGUUUAUACUGUAUUAAUAAUGUUUAUUUCGAGUUAUGCUAUUUAUCAUAAAUUAAUAUACCCACAUCUGUUGAAAUUUUAUUUAGAUCGUUUUUUUUUAAGUUCAUAUGCAAUAGUUAAAAAAGAAAUGAUAAAUUUUAGAGUACCUAACAAUAUUGAUGCUUAUCACUUAAACAAGAUGAAUAGCUAUUUAUUCAAUUCAUUGUAUAAGAAACAAGAGCAUCCUUCAAAAGAUUUAGAGAGUAGUACAAGAAGUUCUAUAGGAUAUAACAUUGUUAUUAAAAAAGAAAAAACAACAAUACUUAAUAAAAUAUGUAACAAAAUUAUGCCCUCAUGUAUUUGUAAAAAAAAAAAAAAUACUAAUUUAAAUUUUUUUAUUAUAUUUUAUAUAGGAGAGUUAGAUAAUAAAGGUAGACCCCAUGGUUUUGGUUAUUGGCGUGGGAUGAGUAACGAGGGUGAAGUUUUGAUUGGAUAUUGGUUUAGGGGUAUACCUAUUGGACCUUUUAAGUGUAGGGAUUUUAAAACUGGUUCAGGGUUUAUGUGUAUAAAAAUAGGUUACGGUCGAACCAAUUGUGAACUUAAUGAUUUGGAUAUAGGGCUGGCAGAUACAGAGUGUUGUGUGAGUGGUGCGUUUUAUAGAACUUUUCCGAGAGUCGUUUUCUAUAACCUAAACUUAACAAACACCUAUUCACAUCAUAAAAAAAAUAAGGAACGUCAUGGAAAUAUGGAAAAAAAAGAAUGUCGUGAAUAUUUAAUGGUUAAUAAGGCAAGUAACGAUAUACUUCAUUUAGAUUAUUCAAAAUUGUUACAAGAUGAUUCUGAUGAAAAUGAAAAAGAAGAUAAAAAAAUGGGUAAUUUAAUUCAUAGUGCAUAUCAAGAAAAUAUGCAAACAAAUUAUUUUACUACAUCAAAUAAUAUUAAUAAAACAUCUAACUCUAAUAUUAAGGAAAAUGGUAAAACUAUAAAUAAUGAAUAUACACAUAACAUAUCUUCAACUCCACAUUUACAAAAAAAAGAUACAAUUUUAAAAGGGGAUUUAUUAAAUUAUAACGAUAUAUAUAAUUUAACAUAUGAUCUUAACAAUUUGUCAUUAGAAAGUGAAAUAAAUUGUGUUUUAAAUGAUUCUGUUGAAAAUUGUGAAAAUGAAAAUAGUAGUGGAGGUAGUCAUACUAAUCAGGAUAAUAAUAAUUAUAACGUCCGAAGUAAUGAAAAUAGUAGUAAUAGUGGUAAUAGUAGUAAUAUUGGUAAUAGUAAUAUUGG